UAUAAGUGGAGCCAUAAAGUUUUGUGUUCAACUUUGAUCGUCUGUUUUAUUUAAAUUUAAAUUUUUUUUAUGAUUAGCAUUUUUAUUGUUAUUAGAUGAUGAAAUAUGAAUAGCUUAUAUUUUUUAUUUUUUAAAAAAAAAUUAAGACGAACUAUUAAAGUUGAACACGGAAACUUAUUGCUGCACUUAAA
MicroRNA precursor from Oryza rufipogon (brownbeard rice), 191 nucleotides. It matches the Rfam family "MIR812 microRNA precursor family". NCBI's taxonomy places the organism in Eukaryota, Viridiplantae, Streptophyta, Magnoliopsida, Poales, Poaceae. The record is from Rfam.